GACGAGAUUCAUCUGGAAGAUGAGAAUGUUGAUUCGUGGGCGGCCGAUGUAUAUAUUAAUGAAAUGUCCAGUAUCCUGCAAUUUCGCCUUUUUGAUCAACAAGGGAUUGAAUCACUUCAAGGGGGGAACUCCUGGGUUGAGCUUACGAGGACUGUCAUUUCAAGGACGAUCAGUCCGGAUUUGACCGAUGUCGACAGUCUCGCCACGGCCUAUUGUCUUUUUCUGGAGAAGGGCCCGUCGAGUGAGAUAAUGAACGAUGCCCCGAUAAUCCUGCAGCUAUGGGGAACAGGGGUUAUCCAUUUCAUAGCGUAGGCGAGGGUGGGUGAACGAAGUGAAUUGUUACGCUCUAACAGUGAGAGACGGGAGCUCGAGCUUAGAGAUUAGCCUCAGGCCGGACAGAGGUCAGGGGAGGAGCACAGACAGAUGGCUUCUUAAGAUUUCACUUCUAGUAACCCCCGGAUGUAGUUAGAAGGCGAACGGGGUCACCAAAGCCACGAUAAGGAAGGCUGAAAUCCAGAUCAUGCAUCGCAUCUAGAGCACGCUGGUUCGAGUCCAGC
Molecule: long non-coding RNA, 557 nt
Filed under: Nicotiana benthamiana
Lineage: Eukaryota; Viridiplantae; Streptophyta; Magnoliopsida; Solanales; Solanaceae
Description: long non-coding RNA (NBEN_LNC007116)
Source: RNAcentral